AUCCGUGCUGCUGCCUGCCUUUGGGGGAAGAGGAGGCCUCACACCACAUCCCCAGGUGGCCAUGUGGCCUCGACGCCACUGACCCAGGAUCAGGAGAGGCUGAGCUCCUUUCUCAGCAGCUUCUUCCUGUGGCCCCAGCCUCCGUGCCCUCUUCCCUCCAGGGGGGACUCGGUGCCUGCCUGGGGAGGAAGGAGAGGCGUCGCAGGCGUCUGAGCUGGGCCACAGCCUGAACGAGAACGUCCUCAAGCCUGCGCAGGAGAAGGUGAAGGAGGGAAAGAUUUUUGAUGAUGUGUCCAGUGGGGUCUCUCAGUUGGCGUCCAAGGUAGGGAGCCUGCCAGAUACGCGGGCACAGUCGAAGCCAGUCUCCAUAUUCCACGGCCCUGGGCGUGAGAGCAGGGUGUGCCCCGUGCAGCCCUCAGCCCAGCUCGGCAGUGGCCGCUGUCCUCUGAGACGGGAGGAGAGCUGCCCAGCCUGACGGCCCGAGGGAUAUGGAAACAGCUUGGCCCACUGCGGCCCGGUCAGCCACUAACUGUCACUUCUCCCUCUGCUCUUAUCUUG
Molecule: small RNA, 558 nt
Filed under: Pongo abelii (Sumatran orangutan)
Lineage: Eukaryota; Metazoa; Chordata; Mammalia; Primates; Hominidae
Description: retained intron
Source: RNAcentral